This 356-nucleotide ribosomal RNA is filed under the name uncultured archaeon. Its description in RNAcentral is "bacterial SSU rRNA". It matches the Rfam family "Archaeal small subunit ribosomal RNA", at positions 432 to 787 of the family's 1478-position model. The record is from RNAcentral.
UUAGCAAGGGCCGGGCAAGACCGGUGCCAGCCGCCGCGGUAACACCGGCGGCCCGAGUGGUGGCCACUAUUAUUGGGUCUAAAGGGUCCGUAGCCGGUUUGGUCAGUCUUCCGGGAAAUCUGACGGCUCAACCGUUAGGCUUUCGGGGGAUACUACCAGGCUUGGGACCGGGAGAGGUAAGAGGUACUACGGGGGUAGGAGUGAAAUCUUGUAAUCCCUGUGGGACCACCAGUGGCGAAGGCGUCUUACCAGAACGGGUCCGACGGUGAGGGACGAAAGCUGGGGGCACGAACCGGAUUAGAUACCCGGGUAGUCCCAGCUGUAAACUAUGCUCGCUAGGUGUCAGGGACGGCCGA